UGGGGAAUUUUACGCAAUGGGCGAAAGCCUGACGUAGCGACACCGCGUGAGCGAAGAAGCCUUUUGGGGUGUAAAGCUCUGUCAGCUGGAAAGAACACAAUGACGGUACCAGCAGAGGAAGCAUCGGCUAACUACGUGCCAGCAGCCGCGGUAAGACGUAGGAUGCAAGCGUUGUCCGGAUUUAUUGGGCGUAAAGAGUUCGUAGGCUGUUUGUUAAGUCUGGUGUUAAAGACUGAGGCCCAACCUCGGAAAUGCAUCGGAUACUGGCAGACUUGAGUACGGUAGAGGCGAGUGGAAUUCCCAGUGUAGCGGUGAAAUGCGUAGAUAUUGGGAAGAACACCGGUGGCGUAGGCGACUCGCUGGGCCGCAACUGACGCUGAGGAACGAAAGCCAGGGGAGCGAAUGGG
This 407-nucleotide ribosomal RNA is filed under the name uncultured bacterium. Its description in RNAcentral is "bacterial SSU rRNA". It matches the Rfam family "Bacterial small subunit ribosomal RNA", at positions 355 to 776 of the family's 1533-position model. The record is from RNAcentral.